AUCGCUUCUUGGCCUUUUGGCUAAGAUCAAGUGUGGUAUCUGUUCUUAUCAGUUUAAUAAGAGCUGAAAUAAUAACUGAAUUUUUUGUUUUUGUUUUUUUUUAGAGAGAGAGUGAGAGAGCGCGCAAGCAAG
RNAcentral lists this small nuclear RNA (132 nucleotides) under Lynx canadensis (Canada lynx). RNAcentral describes it as "U2 spliceosomal RNA (ENSLCNG00005002441.1)". It matches the Rfam family "U2 spliceosomal RNA", at positions 1 to 136 of the family's 192-position model. Rfam says of the family: U2 is a small nuclear RNA (snRNA) component of the spliceosome (involved in pre-mRNA splicing). Complementary binding between U2 snRNA (in an area lying towards the 5' end but 3' to hairpin I) and the branchpoint sequence (BPS) of the intron results the bulging out of an unpaired adenosine, on the BPS, which initiates a nucleophilic attack at the intronic 5' splice site, thus starting the first of two transesterification reactions that mediate splicing. Lineage: Eukaryota; Metazoa; Chordata; Mammalia; Carnivora; Felidae. The record is from RNAcentral.